Molecule: non-coding RNA, 236 nt
Organism: Pelobates cultripes (western spadefoot toad)
Lineage: Eukaryota; Metazoa; Chordata; Amphibia; Anura; Pelobatidae
Source: the annotation of a GenBank genome assembly
AAAUGCAUUUCUAGUCUUUAUAGUCUUUUUAAUCUCUGUCUAUUCUCUAAAAUGUUGUGUGUAAUUUUUUGUUUUGUAUAUGUGUGUGGAUCUAGAUUUUGUGGAUACCUCUAUGCAGAUGCCUCUCUUUAUCUGUACAAGUCUAGCUGCUUGCUAAGUUGUGUCUGUCCAUCUUUAUCAACUUGUUAAAAUUUAUGUUUCCAUCUGAGCCUUUGCAAAUGUUUCCUUUAAAGACC